GUCGAUGUACGAUGUAUGCUACUUUUUGCUACUUUUUUCCUUGCUACUUGCUGCUUUGCCACAAAAGUUUCUGGCAACUCUGCUUCGCUUCUUGCCAAUUGAUUUUAUGUUUUUCUUAAGUUUUUCGAAUAUGAUCGGAUGCACUGGGAAGCUAGUAAAUUAUUGUAGGACUAGCUUGCCAUUUCUUCAAAAUAGGAGUAGAAAUAUUGAAAUGAGAAACAUAUGGAGCUGGUUAAACACCAUAUUUAAUAAGUAAGAUUAUUUAUUAAGAAAUAUUGUAAUUAUGGAUUAAGAUCUUUAAGCAAGACAUUUAUGUAGUUCAGAAUGCUAUAACCCCUUGAGUGCUGCCU
RNAcentral lists this long non-coding RNA (350 nucleotides) under Androctonus crassicauda. Lineage: Eukaryota; Metazoa; Arthropoda; Arachnida; Scorpiones; Buthidae. The record is from RNAcentral.